UACGUAGGGUGCGAGCGUUGUCCGGAAUUAUUGGGCGUAAAGAGCUCGUAGGCGGUGUGUCGCGUCGGCCGUGAAAACCUGGGGCUCAACUCUGGGCGUGCGGUCGAUACGGGCAUCACUUGAGUUCGGCAGGGGAGACUGGAAUUCCUGGUGUAGCGGUGAAAUGCGCAGAUAUCAGGAGGAACACCGGUGGCGAAGGCGGGUCUCUGGGCCGAUACUGACGCUGAUGCGCGAAAGCGUGGGGAGCAAACAGG
This 254-nucleotide ribosomal RNA is filed under the name uncultured bacterium. RNAcentral's name for it is "partial 16S ribosomal RNA". It matches the Rfam family "Bacterial small subunit ribosomal RNA", at positions 524 to 776 of the family's 1533-position model. The record is from RNAcentral.